GAAACGAGGAAGUCAGAGCCGUGGGCCAGGGUGUGCUGCGAGCGCUGGAGAGCCGGCAGCCUGAGGGGCCCAGCCUCAGACACCUCCUCCCCGUCAUGGCCAAGGUCGUGGUCCUCAGCCCGGGCAUCCUCCAGGAGGGUACGUGGGGCCCCUCCUAAGAGGCUGUUGGGGGUCUGCCUUCGCAGGUCCUUCCCUGAGGGCCCAUGGUGGGUUGGGGGGGAGGGGGCACGGGGAGGCCCGAGGGCCUGGGACACUACAGGAUUCUGUUUUCUGAGAAAAAUCAGCCAGCAUCCCAACGACCCAGGCAUCCGUAGGAUUUAACCUCACCUCCCCAUGCCACCCCACCCACUGCAGACCAGGCCACCCUGCUCAGCAAGCGGCUGGUCGACUGGCUGCGCUAUGCCAGCCUCCAGCAAGGGCUCCCGCACUCCGGCAGCUUCUUCUCCACGCCCAGGGCCCGGCAGCCGGGCCCCAUCACCGAGGUGGACGGGGCGGUGGCCACAGACUUCUUCACGGUGCUCUCCACCGGCCACCGCUUCACAGAAGACCAGUGGCUGAACGUGCAGGCCUUCUCCAUGCUGCGGGCGUGGCUGCUGCACAGCGGCCCCGAGGGCCCAGGCACCCUGGACACAGAUGACAGGUCAGAGCAGGAGGGCUCCACGCUGUCGGUGAUCUCUGCCACCUCCUCCUCUGCUGGCCGCCUGCUGCCGCCCCGGGAGCGGCUUCGGGAGGUGGCCUUUGAGUACUGCCAGCGCCUCAUUGAGCAAAGUAACCGAC
Molecule: small RNA, 777 nt
Filed under: Pongo abelii (Sumatran orangutan)
Lineage: Eukaryota; Metazoa; Chordata; Mammalia; Primates; Hominidae
Description: retained intron
Source: RNAcentral